RNAcentral lists this ribosomal RNA (429 nucleotides) under Rhinella castaneotica group sp. ABGD cluster 16. RNAcentral describes it as "partial large subunit ribosomal RNA". It matches the Rfam family "Bacterial large subunit ribosomal RNA", at positions 1835 to 2467 of the family's 2925-position model. Lineage: Eukaryota; Metazoa; Chordata; Amphibia; Anura; Bufonidae. The record is from RNAcentral.
CUUGAACUUUAUAAGAGGUCCAGCCUGCCCAGUGACUCUGUUCAACGGCCGCGGUAUCCUAACCGUGCGAAGGUAGCGUAAUCACUUGUUCUUUAAAUGUGGACUAGUAUGAAUGGCACUACGAGGGUUAUACUGUCUCCUCUUUCUAAUCAGUGAAACUAAUUUUCCCGUGAAGAAGCGAGAAUACAAUUAUAAGACGAGAAGACCCUAUGGAGCUUUAAACAACCUAGCAAUUACUUCUAAAUAAUAAAUUUCAGAAUACUCAUUUUUUAAGCAAUAUGUCUGCAAGUUUUUGGUUGGGGUGACCAUGGAGAAUAACACAACCUCCAUAUUGAAUGAAUUUUCAUUCUAAGCUAAAAAUUACUAAUUGAAGCAUCAACACACUGACAUCUAUUGACCCAAUAUAUUUGAUCAACGAACCAAGUUACC